RNAcentral lists this ribosomal RNA (253 nucleotides) under uncultured bacterium. Its description in RNAcentral is "partial 16S ribosomal RNA". It matches the Rfam family "Bacterial small subunit ribosomal RNA", at positions 524 to 776 of the family's 1533-position model. The record is from RNAcentral.
UACGUAGGGGGCAAGCGUUGUCCGGAAUCAUUGGGCGUAAAGCGCGUGUAGGCGGCCCGAUAAGUCCGCUGUGAAAGUCCAGGGCUCAACCCUGGAAUGCCGGUGGAUACUGUCGGGCUAGAGUCCGGAAGAGGCGAGUGGGAUUCCUGGUGUAGCGGUGAAAUGCGCAGAUAUCAGGAGGAACACCAAUUGCGAAGGCAGCUCGCUGGGACGUUACUGACGCUGAGACGCGAAAGCGUGGGGAGCAAACAGG